AUUGAACGCUGGCGGCAUGCUUUACACAUGCAAGUCGAACGGUAACAGGCCUUCGGGUGCUGACGAGUGGCGAACGGGUGAGUAAUGCAUCGGAACGUGCCCAAUCGUGGGGGAUAACGUAGCGAAAGUUACGCUAAUACCGCAUAAGCCCUGAGGGGGAAAGCAGGGGAUCGCAAGACCUUGCGCGAAUGGAGCGGCCGAUGUCAGAUUAGCUAGUUGGUGGGGUAAAGGCCUACCAAGGCGACGAUCUGUAGCGGGUCUGAGAGGAUGAUCCGCCACACUGGGACUGAGACACGGCCCAGACUCCUACGGGAGGCAGCAGUGGGGAAUUUUGGACAAUGGGCGCAAGCCUGAUCCAGCCAUGCCGCGUGCGGGACGAAGGCCUGG
Molecule: ribosomal RNA, 387 nt
Filed under: uncultured bacterium
Lineage: Bacteria
Description: bacterial SSU rRNA
Rfam family: Bacterial small subunit ribosomal RNA
Source: RNAcentral